AAAACGGAAAAAAUUAGUUGUAUUUAGGAAGAAUUUAAGGCAGUCUGCGAGUCAUCAGAAUUAUUGAAUAGCGAAAUGACAACUACCGAAUUACACUCAAACGUAAACAUUACUUAAAUAAUUUACGGAAAUAUCAGUGAGUUGCAAACACAGGUGAACACAUAAACAAAUAAGGUGAUGCCUAAAAAGAUACACAUAACGGCAAAAGUAGAAUCUCAAGAUAAACACAUACGUCUACAUGCAUAAAUAUAGAAAUGUACACAUAUUUCAAACAGAUAUUCGAAUGACGAUUUCAAUUGCAUAAUAUGUAGUAUCUUCUUGGUGUACUGCUAAAUUUUAAUUAUUCACUUCAGUAUUGAUUUGCAGUGAUCCAAACGAAUUUAAAAGUUACGCCGAUUUAUAUGUGUGAAUGCAAAAACUCACCCAAAAAUCAGCUGAAGCCGGAACCUUGAUAUCAGCACUUAAUUAAACAGUGUUAAAUUUAGGAAAUUGAAAGAGAUAUAUGUAGGGUAGCUCCCACUAAUAGAAUGCAAAUGGUAAUAUUGUGUAUUUAUUCCUUAGUUUUCUAUUUGCUUUGAGAAUAUUCGUGUUCUUUCCGAUACACUUUUCACUUUAGAUAUACUUUGGUAUUGUUAACUACUUCAGCAAUCAAUUAAAAUCAUAAUGCUCUCAACUUCAACUUUUGCACUUUCUUCACAUUAAUAUAACACUUGCUUUGCGCUGGAGAUAUUCUGAAAUUUCUACACUUCACUUUUAGGAGUCCGUAAAAAUGUGCAGCUGACACCGACGACCGAAUAAUUUGUGUUUGCAAAAUGCUGAAAAUUCCAAACAAUUGCCAGCUGCGUUGCCAACUAUACCACCAAAACUGUAAUUCGAUACUUGAUUUGCAUUUAGGACAUACUAAUGAAAAUCUGAACAUUUUAAAUCCAUAUUGAGGCAUUUUUCUUUAAAAAAAAAUGGUACAUUUAAAUAUUUUUGUUGACCUAUCUUGUCUUAACAUGUGUAUUUUUA
Molecule: long non-coding RNA, 1011 nt
Organism: Zeugodacus cucurbitae (melon fly)
Lineage: Eukaryota; Metazoa; Arthropoda; Insecta; Diptera; Tephritidae
Exons: 3
Source: RefSeq, a predicted model, not a curated record